RNAcentral lists this ribosomal RNA (651 nucleotides) under uncultured Rhizophagus. RNAcentral describes it as "SSU rRNA". It matches the Rfam family "Eukaryotic small subunit ribosomal RNA", at positions 624 to 1276 of the family's 1831-position model. Lineage: Eukaryota; Fungi; Glomeromycota; Glomeromycetes; Glomerales; Glomeraceae. The record is from RNAcentral.
AAGCUCGUAGUUGAAUUUCGGGGUUAGUAGGUUGGUCAUGCCUCUGGUAUGUACUGGUCUCACUGAUUCCUCCUUCCUGAUGAACCGUAAUGCCAUUAAUUUGGUGUUGCGGGGAAUUUGGACUGUUACUUUGAAAAAAUUAGAGUGUUUAAAGCAAGCUAACGCUUGAAUACAUUAGCAUGGAAUAAUGAAAUAGGACGUUCGAUCCUAUUUUGUUGGUUUCUAGGAUUGUCGUAAUGAUUAAUAGGGAUAGUUGGGGGCAUUAGUAUUCAAUUGUCAGAGGUGAAAUUCUUGGAUUUAUUGAAGACUAACUACUGCGAAAGCAUUUGCCAAGGAUGUUUUCAUUAAUCAAGAACGAAAGUUAGGGGAUCGAAGACGAUCAGAUACCGUCGUAGUCUUAACCAUAAACUAUGCCGACUAGGGAUCGGAUGAUGUUAAUUUUUUAAUGACUCAUUCGGCGCCUUACGGGAAACCAAAGUGUUUGGGUUCCGGGGGGAGUAUGGUCGCAAGGCUGAAACUUAAAGGAAUUGACGGAAGGGCACCACCAGGGGUGGAGCCUGCGGCUUAAUUUGACUCAACACGGGGAAACUCACCAGGUCCAGACAUAGUAAGGAUUGACAGACUGAGAGCUCUUUCUUGAUUCUAUGGGUG